Molecule: ribosomal RNA, 296 nt
Filed under: uncultured Fusibacter sp.
Lineage: Bacteria; Bacillati; Bacillota; Clostridia; Eubacteriales; Fusibacteraceae
Description: partial 16S ribosomal RNA
Rfam family: Bacterial small subunit ribosomal RNA
Source: RNAcentral
AACGAGCGCAACCCUUGUGUUUAGUUUGCAAACAGGUCAAGCUGUGCACUCUAGACAGACUGCCGUGGACAACACGGAGGAAGGUGGGGAGUGACGUCAAAUCAUCAUGCCCCUUACUGAUCUGGGCGUACACACGUGCUACAAUGGCCGGUGCAACGGGCAGCGAAGGAGCGAUCCGGAGCGAAUCCUAAAAAGCCGGUCCCAGUUCGGAUUGCAGGCUGAAACUCGCCUACAUGAAGUUGGAGUUGCUAGUAAUCGCGAAUCAGAAUGUCGCGGUGAAUGCGUUCCCGGGUCUU